Phrynosoma platyrhinos (Desert horned lizard) is the source of this 72-nucleotide non-coding RNA. The record is from the annotation of a GenBank genome assembly. Lineage: Eukaryota; Metazoa; Chordata; Lepidosauria; Squamata; Phrynosomatidae.
GCCAAGGUGAUAUAGUGGUUUGAGCAUUGGACUACAACUCUGGAGACCAGGGUUCAAAUCCCUGCUUAACCA